UACGAAGGGGGCUAGCGUUGCUCGGAAUUACUGGGCGUAAAGCGCACGUAGGCGGGUUCUUAAGUCGGUGGUGAAAUCCUGGAGCUCAACUCCAGAACUGCCUUCGAUACUGGGAAUCUUGAGUCCGGGAGAGGUGAGUGGAACUGCGAGUGUAGAGGUGAAAUUCGUAGAUAUUCGCAAGAACACCAGUGGCGAAGGCGGCUUACUGGUCCGGUUCUGACGCUGAGGCGCGAAAGCGUGGGGAGCAAACAGG
This 253-nucleotide ribosomal RNA is filed under the name uncultured bacterium. RNAcentral describes it as "partial 16S ribosomal RNA". It matches the Rfam family "Bacterial small subunit ribosomal RNA", at positions 524 to 776 of the family's 1533-position model. The record is from RNAcentral.